This 1342-nucleotide ribosomal RNA is filed under the name Parnassius apollo (apollo). RNAcentral describes it as "16S ribosomal RNA". The stretch from base 1078 to 1237 matches the Rfam family "Eukaryotic large subunit ribosomal RNA", at positions 2825 to 2984 of the family's 3401-position model. Lineage: Eukaryota; Metazoa; Arthropoda; Insecta; Lepidoptera; Papilionidae. The record is from RNAcentral.
GGGGGAUAAAUUAAUAAAGUAUAAAUAAUAAAAAAAUUUUUAAUAUUAAAAUAUUUUAAUGGGGGUUAAAGUAUAUUUAAUAGAAAAAAUAAAAAAAUUUAUAGAAAAUUAGUAUUGUAAAAGAAAUUUGAAAUAUAUUGAAAAUAAAUUUAUUUUAAAGUAAAUUUAAUUUAUUGUAUCUUGUGUAUCAGAGUUUAUUAAUAAUAAUUUUUUUUUAAAAAUUUUCUCGAAUUUAAAAGAGAUAAUUAAUUAUAAAAAUUAAUGUUGUAUAAUUAUUUUAAAUAAUUAAUUGGAAAUGAAAUGUUAAUCGUUUUUAAAUAUAUCUAGUUUUUUUAGAAAAAAAUUUAAUUUUAAAUUUUAAAAAAUAUAAUUUUAAUUAAUUAAAAUUAUAUUUUUAAAAUUAAAUAUUUUAAGGGAUAAGCUUUAAAAUAAAUUUUUAUAAUAAAUUUUAAUAUUAGUUAAAAUUUUUAAAAUUUAUAUUGUUUAUAAAUUAUAAUUUUUUAUAAAUAAUUUUAAUUAAAUUAAAAUUUCAAAAUUUAUUUAAUUUUUUAUUAAAAAAUAUUUUUUAAUAAUUUAAAUUUAGAUAUAAUGAUAAAAUUAGUAUAUAAAUAAAUAAAUGAAAUUUAUUAUUUGAUAAUUUAAUAAAAGGAAUUCGGCAAAAAUUUAUAUUCACUUGUUUAUCAAAAACAUGUCUUUUUGAUUAAUAAUUUAAAGUCUAAUCUGCCCACUGAUAAUAAAUUAAAGGGCUGCAGUAUUUUGACUGUACAAAGGUAGCAUAAUCAUUAGUCUUUUAAUUGGUGACUUGUAUGAAGGAUUUGAUGAAAUAUAUACUGUCUCUUUUUAAUUUAUAAAAUUUAAUUUUUUAGUUAAAAAGCUAAAAUGUAUUUAAAAGACGAGAAGACCCUAUAGAGUUUUAUACUCAUUUAAAUUAAAAUUUUUUAUAAGAUUUAAAAUUUUAAUUUAAAUGAGUAUUUUGUUGGGGUGAUAGAAAAAUUAAAAUAACUUUUUUUAUAAUUUUACAUUAAUAAAUGAAUAAAUGAUCCGUAAUUUACGAUUAUAAGAUAAAAUUACCUUAGGGAUAACAGCGUAAUUUUUUUUUUUAGUUCAAAUAAGAAAAAAAGUUUGCGACCUCGAUGUUGGAUUAAGAUAAAAUUUAAAUGCAAAAGUUUAAAAUUUUUGAUCUGUUCGAUCAUUAAAAUCUUACAUGAUCUGAGUUCAAACCGGUGUAAGCCAGGUUGGUUUCUAUCUUUAGAUUAAUAAAAUAUUUUAGUACGAAAGGAUCAAAUAUUUAAAAUAGUUUUAUUUGGAAGAAUUUUAAUAAUAGUAGAUAUUUUUAAAUAUA